Molecule: ribosomal RNA, 433 nt
Filed under: uncultured bacterium
Lineage: Bacteria
Description: partial 16S ribosomal RNA
Rfam family: Bacterial small subunit ribosomal RNA
Source: RNAcentral
AACGAACGCUGGCGGCAGGCUUAACACAUGCAAGUCGAGCGAGGACUUCGGUUCUAGCGGCGGACGGGUGAGUAACGCGUGGGAAUGUGCCCUUCUCUACGGAAUAGCCCUGGGAAACUGGGAGUAAUACCGUAUACGCCCUAUUGGGGAAAGAUUUAUCGGAGAAGGAUCAGCCCGCGUUGGAUUAGGUAGUUGGUGGGGUAAUGGCCUACCAAGCCGACGAUCCAUAGCUGGUUUGAGAGGAUGAUCAGCCACACUGGGACUGAGACACGGCCCAGACUCCUACGGGAGGCAGCAGUGGGGAAUCUUAGACAAUGGGGGCAACCCUGAUCUAGCCAUGCCGCGUGAGUGAUGAAGGCCUUAGGGUUGUAAAGCUCUUUCAGCUGGGAAGAUAAUGACGGUACCAGCAGAAGAAGCCCCGGCUAACUCCGUG